Molecule: ribosomal RNA, 403 nt
Filed under: Salmonella enterica
Lineage: Bacteria; Pseudomonadati; Pseudomonadota; Gammaproteobacteria; Enterobacterales; Enterobacteriaceae
Also listed under: 1 other name
Description: partial 23S ribosomal RNA
Rfam family: Bacterial large subunit ribosomal RNA
Source: RNAcentral
AAUCCAUAGGUUAAUGAGGCGAACCGGGGGAACUGAAACAUCUAAGUACCCCGAGGAAAAGAAAUCAACCGAGAUUCCCCCAGUAGCGGCGAGCGAACGGGGAGGAGCCCAGAGCCUGAAUCAGCAUGUGUGUUAGUGGAAGCGUCUGGAAAGGCGCGCGAUACAGGGUGACAGCCCCGUACACAAAAGCGCAUGUGCUGUGAGCUCGAUGAGUAGGGCGGGACACGUGGUAUCCUGUCUGAAUAUGGGGGGACCAUCCUCCAAGGCUAAAUACUCCUGACUGACCGAUAGUGAACCAGUACCGUGAGGGAAAGGCGAAAAGAACCCCGGCGAGGGGAGUGAAAAAGAACCUGAAACCGUGUACGUACAAGCAGUGGGAGCCCCACCACUAAGCCAGUGGUGA